GUUAUGUUCUUUAAAUUUAAAAAAUUUGGCGGUAUUUUAGUCUUAUUAGAGGAACCUGUUUUUUAAUUGAUAAUCCACGAUUAAUUUUACUUAUUUUAAAUAAUUCAUAUAUCGCUGUCAUGAAUAUAUUUAAAAAUUUAUUUUCUUUAUUUAUUAUUAUAAUUUAUGUUAAGUCAAGAUGUGGUUAAUAAAUAAGUAUAUAAUGGGUUACAUUAAAUUUUAUUUUUGGAUUUUAAAUGAAAAUUAAAAUGAAAUUGGAUUUAAUAGUAAAUUUAUUUAUUUAAUUAAUAUGAAAAAAGAUCUAAAAUAUGUACAUAUUGCCCGUCAUUCUUAUUAAAAAUAAGACAAGAUCGUAACAAAGUAAGUGUACUGGAAAGUGUAUUUAGAAAGAUAUUUAAUAUAAA
Molecule: ribosomal RNA, 404 nt
Filed under: Acyrthosiphon pisum (pea aphid)
Lineage: Eukaryota; Metazoa; Arthropoda; Insecta; Hemiptera; Aphididae
Description: partial 12S small subunit ribosomal RNA
Source: RNAcentral